UACGUAGGGUGCAAGCGUUAAUCGGAAUUACUGGGCGUAAAGGGCGCGUAGGCGGGAUGGCAAGUCGGUCGUGAAAUCCCUCGGCUCAACCGAGGAACGUCGAUCGAUACUGCUGUUCUUGAGGAUUGCAGAGGAGACUGGAAUUCCCGGUGUAGCGGUGAAAUGUGUAGAGAUCGGAAAGAACACCAACGGCGAAAGCACUCUGCUGGGCCGACACUGACACUGAGAGACGAAAGCUAGGGGAGCGAAUGGG
This 253-nucleotide ribosomal RNA is filed under the name uncultured bacterium. Its description in RNAcentral is "partial 16S ribosomal RNA". It matches the Rfam family "Bacterial small subunit ribosomal RNA", at positions 524 to 776 of the family's 1533-position model. The record is from RNAcentral.